GAUGAACGCUGGCGGCGUGCUUAACACAUGCAAGUCGAACGAAGCAUUUUGAAAAGCUUGCUUUUUGAAAUGACUGAGUGGCGGACGGGUGAGUAACGCGUGGGUAACCUGCCUUAUACAGGGGGAUAACAGUUAGAAAUGACUGCUAAUACCGCAUAAGCGCACAGUGCUGCAUGGUACAGUGUGAAAAACUCCGGUGGUAUAAGAUGGACCCGCGUCUGAUUAGCUAGUUGGUGAGGUAACGGCUCACCAAGGCGACGAUCAGUAGCCGACUUGAGAGAGUGAACGGCCACAUUGGGACUGAGACACGGCCCAAACUCCUACGGGAGGCAGCAGUGGGGAAUAUUGCACAAUGGGGGAAACCCUGAUGCAGCAACGCCGCGUGAGUGAAGAAGUAUUUCGGUAUGUAAAAGCUCUAUCAGCAGGGAAGAAAAUGACGGUACCUGACUAAGAAGCCCCGGCUAACUACGUGCCAGCAGCCGCGG
RNAcentral lists this ribosomal RNA (485 nucleotides) under uncultured bacterium. RNAcentral's name for it is "bacterial SSU rRNA". It matches the Rfam family "Bacterial small subunit ribosomal RNA", at positions 28 to 520 of the family's 1533-position model. The record is from RNAcentral.